This 46-nucleotide non-coding RNA is filed under the name Trichobilharzia regenti. The record is from RNAcentral. Lineage: Eukaryota; Metazoa; Platyhelminthes; Trematoda; Strigeidida; Schistosomatidae.
GUACUGACGAAGAGUCCUUAACUAGGACGAAACAGCUGUCCAGUAC